Molecule: non-coding RNA, 100 nt
Organism: Xylaria curta
Lineage: Eukaryota; Fungi; Ascomycota; Sordariomycetes; Xylariales; Xylariaceae
Source: the annotation of a GenBank genome assembly
GGUCCCAUAGCUCAGUUGGUCAGAGCGUCGUACUAAUAUUAUGAUAACCUCAUAACAUUAAGUAAUGCGAAGGCCGUGAGUUCAAGCCUCACUGGGACCA